GUUCCCCAAAAAAAUAGGAAAAARUACGAACGGCCAGAUGAGGGUUYACYUGUCUCCUUUUAGUUGCUCAAUGAACUUGAUCUUUCAGUACAAAAGCUGAAAUACUCCCAUAAGACGAGAAGACCCUGUGGAGCUUAAGUCACAGCACUACUACCACAUAGCGCCUCCCUUUAGUUGGGGCGACUGCGGAACAAAACACAACUUCCCUGCCACACAUUAAACCCCGCAACGACACACAUGUCACUGCACCCACACCACGACCCAGUACUACUGACUAACGAACCAAGUUACCCCAGGGAUAACAGCGCUAUCCUCUUCUAGAGCCCCUAUCGCCAAGAGGGUUUACGACCUCGAUGUUGGAUCAGGACCUCCUGGUGGUGCAGCCGCUACCAAGGGUUCGUUUGUUCAACGAUUAAGGUC
This 420-nucleotide ribosomal RNA is filed under the name Gonatodes caudiscutatus (shieldhead gecko). Its description in RNAcentral is "partial large subunit ribosomal RNA". The record is from RNAcentral. Lineage: Eukaryota; Metazoa; Chordata; Lepidosauria; Squamata; Sphaerodactylidae.